AGCAGUAGCCGCGGGAAUACGUAGGGUGCAAGCGUUGUCCGGAAUUAUUGGGCGUAAAGAGCUCGUAGGCGGUUUGUCGCGUCUGCUGUGGAAUCCCGAGGCUCAGCCUCGGGCUUGCAGUGGGUACGGGCAGGCUAGAGUGCGGUAGGGGAGAUUGGAAUUCCUGGUGUAGCGGUGGAAUGCGCAGAUAUCAGGAGGAACACCGAUGGCGAAGGCAGAUCUCUGGGCCGUAACUGACGCUGAGGAGCGAAAGCAUGGGGAGCGAACAGGAUUAGAGACCCCCGUAGUCCCUGUCUCUUAUAC
Molecule: ribosomal RNA, 303 nt
Filed under: uncultured bacterium
Lineage: Bacteria
Description: partial 16S ribosomal RNA
Rfam family: Bacterial small subunit ribosomal RNA
Source: RNAcentral